CAGAGUUGCAAGACUCCCUAAACCAUUGUGAACCUACCUUCUACCGUUGCUUCGGCGGGCGGGCCCAGCGCCCCCCCGGCCCCCCGCGGGCGCCCGCCGGAGGAUACCCAAACUCUUGACAUUAGUGGCCUCUCUGAGUAUUCUUUACUGAACAAGUCA
Molecule: unclassified non-coding RNA, 159 nt
Filed under: soil metagenome
Description: partial internal transcribed spacer 1
Source: RNAcentral